This 371-nucleotide unclassified non-coding RNA is filed under the name soil metagenome. RNAcentral describes it as "partial contains 5.8S ribosomal RNA, internal transcribed spacer 2, and large subunit ribosomal RNA". The stretch from base 1 to 120 matches the Rfam family "5.8S ribosomal RNA", at positions 35 to 154 of the family's 154-position model. The record is from RNAcentral.
GAUGAAGAACGCAGCGAAAUGCGAUAAGUAAUGUGAAUUGCAGAAUUCAGUGAAUCAUCGAAUCUUUGAACGCACAUUGCGCCCCCUGGAAUUCCGGGGGGCAUGCCUGUUCGAGCGUCUCAGGGACGAACCCUCGCGCGGGUGUACGCGCGGUCGUGGCUGCGGUGGCGUGCCCGAGGCGGCGGCCACCGCGCUGGAAUCCAUGGGCGGACGCCUGCCGCGUGGCCGAGCGUGAUAUGACGCAUUGGCGCUCGCACGCGGCGAGGCUGCCAGCCCUGGCCCGUCUGUCGGGCGGGGGAGAGCAAGACACGUGAACUCCUCGAAUCAGGUAGCGAUACCCGCUGAACUUAAGCAUAUCAAUAAGCGGAGGA